This 1295-nucleotide long non-coding RNA is filed under the name Marmota monax (woodchuck). The record is from RNAcentral. Lineage: Eukaryota; Metazoa; Chordata; Mammalia; Rodentia; Sciuridae.
UUUCCCCCUAGAUAUUUUUAAAUGCAGAUACCAUCCGGCUGGGAAAUCUACCAACCGGCUCCUAUUCAUCUUCUUCAACCAGCUCCUCAAGUUCUCGACAGACAGUGUACGAACUCUGUGUCUGCCCCAAUGGCAAACUUUACCUUUCUCCAGCAGGGGUAGGUUCCACUUGUCAGUCCAGUAGCAACAUCUGCUUGUGGAGCUGAAGUGACUGAUUUCUCCUCACACCAGAAUAGCCUUUUGUUCCUGUCCGUCUGCUUCACACUUCUGCUCGGUUUCCCUUGUGAUCAGUCCAGAACUUCUUCCGAUGGUCCACAGAGCGACUUCUUCCAGUAUAAGCAGGGAUCCGCCACCACCUUCUCUUGUGAUUUACCAGACUGCUCAACACAGAGAGUGUGAGUGACAUAGCAGUGGAAACAUCAUCUUCAACAGGAAAACUGGAUCAUAACUUUUGCUCAAAAGGGAGAAUAACAUAGGUGCCUUUGCUACAUGAAGUGAAGCACACAGUUUUAGAUUUUUGCAGAACCUGGAUAUGAACUGCACAUAAAUAUACAUCACAUAGAUGAAAUUCCCAGUAUCCAAUGGCAAGAUGAAAUGGUUAACCCUGUAAGAAAACUAAUUCUACAGUUUGAAAGCACAAUUUUCCAUUCAUCUUUUUGGAUGUAAACUUUUAUCCCCGAAUUUUAAAAUUUUGAAGCAUUAUGUAAUGCUUGCUUUACUAAAAAUUAAAUUCGAUACAUGAUUUUUAACAAAACAAAACAAAAGAAGACAGAAUCCCUCCCUGAGUUUUGUUUCUUUAAAUCCAAUGUGUUGUUACUCUUUGUCUACUAAGUCUAGAAUUUUGUACAUUAGGUAAUUUUGAAAGCACUCAGCAAUAUAAUCUUUACAGAAUUAACAAAAUGCCAUUAUCCUGUCAUUUGUCAUAUCUGGAUGGCCUUAUAUAGUAUUUACUUGGCUAUUGCAUGUGACGUAUUUGCUUUUAACAAAACAUCUAAUUUAUUGCAAGAUAAGAUAGGAUUAAGAGGGAAAUAUCGAUGAUGUGGAAUCCAUAGAUCAUUUCCUUAAAAAUUCACAUGCUACCCUUUACACCUAAAUUUUAAUAGUACAUUUUUGUUUGCUCCAUUCACUUUAUACUUGACUUGGAUUGCUAAAAUUCAAACAUCAUCUAAAUAAAUACUAAUAUGAUACAUAAUGCUGAGAAUGGAUUCACUUUCCAUUGGGAUAUCAUCUUCAGAGUUUUCACUUUUUAAAAUUGAAGGUUUAAGGAGAUUAUAAAUUAAAUAAAAAAAAAAUUC